This 448-nucleotide ribosomal RNA is filed under the name uncultured bacterium. RNAcentral's name for it is "bacterial SSU rRNA". It matches the Rfam family "Bacterial small subunit ribosomal RNA", at positions 330 to 794 of the family's 1533-position model. The record is from RNAcentral.
UCCAGACUCCUACGGGAGGCAGCAGUGGGGGAUAUUGCACAAUGGGGGAAACCCUGAUGCAGCGACGCCGCGUGAGUGAAGAAGUAUUUCGGUAUGUAAAGCUCUAUCAGCAGGGAAGAAAAAAGACGGUACCUGACUAAGAAGCCCCGGCUAACUACGUGCCAGCAGCCGCGGUAAUACGUAGGGGGCAAGCGUUAUCCGGAUUUACUGGGUGUAAAGGGAGCGUAGACGGCAAUACAAGUCGGAAGUGAAAUACCCGGGCUCAACCUGGGAGCUGCUUUGGAAACUGUAUGGCUGGAGUGCUGGAGAGGUAAGCGGAAUUCCUAGUGUAGCGGUGAAAUGCGUAGAUAUUAGGAGGAACACCAGUGGCGAAGGCGGCUUACUGGACAGUAACUGACGUUGAGGCUCGAAAGCGUGGGGAGCAAACAGGAUUAGAUACCCUAGUACC